This 123-nucleotide non-coding RNA is filed under the name Clostridium magnum. RNAcentral's name for it is "MoCo sequence". It matches the Rfam family "Molybdenum/Tungsten riboswitch aptamer (Moco RNA motif)". Lineage: Bacteria; Bacillati; Bacillota; Clostridia; Eubacteriales; Clostridiaceae. The record is from RNAcentral. RNAcentral also lists the same sequence under 1 other name.
UAAAUUUAAUAACUCCGACUCUAUAUUACCUAAAAGAAUCAUUUCUUAUGGUGAAUAGAACCGCAGGGUAUUGUUGGAAACUUCAGUGCCUACCUUAUGGAAAGGAGUAAAAGAAUAUACCUG